RNAcentral lists this ribosomal RNA (253 nucleotides) under uncultured bacterium. RNAcentral's name for it is "partial 16S ribosomal RNA". It matches the Rfam family "Bacterial small subunit ribosomal RNA", at positions 524 to 776 of the family's 1533-position model. The record is from RNAcentral.
CACGUAGGGCGCAAGCGUUGUCCGGAAUUAUUGGGCGUAAAGAGCUCGUAGGCGGUCUGUUGCGUCCGCUGUGAAAACUCGGGGCUUAACCCCGAGCCUGCAGUGGAUACGGGCAGACUAGAGGUAGGUAGGGGAGAAUGGAAUUCCCGGUGUAGCGGUGAAAUGCGCAGAUAUCGGGAGGAACACCGGUGGCGAAGGCGGCAUCCUGGACCAACACUGACACUGAGGAGCGAAAGCCAGGGGAGCAAACGGG